Molecule: unclassified non-coding RNA, 259 nt
Filed under: Hevea brasiliensis (rubber tree)
Lineage: Eukaryota; Viridiplantae; Streptophyta; Magnoliopsida; Malpighiales; Euphorbiaceae
Source: RNAcentral
UUUCUUUUUCACUGUACUUUUAGGGGGGAGAAACGAAGGCCCAGAAGUCUUGAACAUCAUUAGAGACAACACAUUCACAGGGAUUUGAGAGCAAAAGAAUUUUUGGUUUGAAUUUUCUUUGAAAACCCAGAAAAGGGAUAUAAGAAAAGAGAGACCUUGUUUCUUUUUUCUUUUUUAUUUUUUUAAUUUUUUUUGGGUUUGGGAUUGAAUAAUGGGAUCAUCUUCAGGGCAAGGCAGUGGCUUUGAUCUCUCAUUCAAG